AUAUCUCUCUGUACGGGAAGGAUGAGAAGCUUCGACUAAGGUUCGAUUCGAGCGAAAGCGAGAAAGCGUUGCCGCAGGCAACGACCCGAA
RNAcentral lists this small RNA (90 nucleotides) under Salmonella enterica subsp. enterica serovar Oranienburg. Its description in RNAcentral is "partial RtT sRNA". It matches the Rfam family "RtT RNA", at positions 1 to 88 of the family's 130-position model. Rfam says of the family: This family represents a bacterial cis-regulatory element known as RtT RNA. The exact function of RtT is unknown although it is thought that it may be involved in changing the cellular response in relation to amino acid starvation. The record is from RNAcentral. RNAcentral also lists the same sequence under 1 other name. Lineage: Bacteria; Pseudomonadati; Pseudomonadota; Gammaproteobacteria; Enterobacterales; Enterobacteriaceae.